Molecule: ribosomal RNA, 378 nt
Filed under: uncultured Sphingobacteriales bacterium
Lineage: Bacteria; Pseudomonadati; Bacteroidota; Sphingobacteriia; Sphingobacteriales
Description: bacterial SSU rRNA
Rfam family: Bacterial small subunit ribosomal RNA
Source: RNAcentral
AGGACGCUUCCUUCGGGAAGCGAGCGUACACAGGUGCUGCAUGGCUGUCGUCAGCUCGUGUCGUGAGAUGUUGGGUUAAGUCCCAUAACGAGCGCAACCCCUACCUUUAGUUGCCAUCAGGUUAAGCUGGGGACUCUAAAGGAACUGCCUACGCAAGUAGUGAGGAAGGCGGGGAUGACGUCAAAUCAGCACGGCCCUUACGUCCAGGGCUACACACGUGCUACAAUGGCCGAUACAGAGGGCAGCUACCUGGUGACAGGAUGCAAAUCUCCAAAGUCGGUCUCAGUUCGGAUCGGAGUCUGCAACCCGACUCCGUGAAGUUGGAUUCGCUAGUAAUCGCGCAUCAGCCAUGGCGCGGUGAAUACGUUCCCGGGCCUU